This 423-nucleotide ribosomal RNA is filed under the name uncultured bacterium. Its description in RNAcentral is "partial 16S ribosomal RNA". It matches the Rfam family "Bacterial small subunit ribosomal RNA", at positions 360 to 775 of the family's 1533-position model. The record is from RNAcentral.
AAUUUUUGACAAUGGGGGAAACCCUGAUCCAGCCAUCGCGCGUGUAUGAUGAAGGCCUUCGGGUUUUAAAAUACUUUUGGCAGAGAAGAAAAGGUAUCUCCUAAUACGAGAUACUGCUGACGGUAUCUGCAGAAGAAGCACCGGCUAACUACGCGCCAGCAGCCGCGGUAAUACGUAGGGUGCAAGCGUCAAUCGGAAUUACUGGGAGUAAAGCGUGUGUAGGCGGUUCGGAAAGAAAGAUGUGAAAACCCAGGGCUCAACCUUGGAACUGCAUUUUUAACUGCCGAGCUAGAGUAUGUCAGAGGGGGGUAGAAUUCCACGUGUAGCAGUGAAAUGCGUAGAUAUGCGGAGGAAUACCGAUGGCGAAGGCAGCCCCCUGGGAUAAUACUGACGCUCAGACACGAAAGCGUGGGGAGCAAACAG